UUUCGCCCAUCUUUUUCUCGUUACGCUACUCUCAACGAGAUCUUCGAUUCUCGUUUAGGUCGUGUCGGCUAAAAACCGCUCGAUCUAAUAUUCGAAUUUCGGGCUGUACACUGCUAUUCCGAAACUUCGAAAAAUCAUAACUUCUUCAUACGAAGUCAGAUUUGGGCGUUCUUUUUAUCGAUGUUCUUAGUUUAACAUAUUCUACGACUUCCGUUUAGAUCGCUAAGGCUAAAUCUCGCUCUAUCGUAAAUUCACUAUUUACGCUUCCCGGUGCCGUGCCGGUUUUGCCGUAAAACUUCGACGGGCCAUAACUUCUUCGUUAUAACUCGGAUUUCGGCGUUCCUUAUAUGUACGGAAACCUUGUGACAUACUCUACAACUUGGUUAAGAUUAUUUAUUCUAAAUAAUCUUUUGUCGAAAAGUCGUUUUCGACCCCUAUUGCCUCUAAUUUGACUAGCCCGGAUUUGCGGGCGUUACAAUUAUCUCCCCCUUAGGAUGAUUACGUCCCGGAAUCAUCAACGAAACAGGGUUGUAUAAUGACUCCAUACGUCAUCUCUUCAUCCUAGGUAAUAAUUAUAACUUCUACAUUCCUUCAAGUCUAUCUCUUAAACUCAUUGACUGUAAGAGUACUCGAUCGUGCACCUGCUCUCUACCUCAGGUUAGACUCCAAAUUAUGACCUUCAAGUCACAAUCUCGAUCCUUGCUGGAUACGGACUUGAGAUAAGUUCUUUUAUUACUACUAUAGAUCGAUGUGUCAUAUUCUAAUGACCUAUCAUCGUAUGUUGCAACACUUAGACUUAGGUCUCUUAGAGUUAAAUUCUAAAACAGACUAUGCCUUCCUUCAUGUUCUAAUGUGAUAUAAUCACACUUUAACAUUAGGCAUUUCUAGCCACCAACUUCUUUAACAACGAGUGCGAUACUUCUAUUGAUCGCUUUGAUUUCAACCGUUUGGUUUAAGUCGGACGCUACAUCAAACUUGGUUCUCUGAACCACACAACAUACUCAUCGUAGUCGGACUCGAUUCGAUAUGACCACUAGGGUCGGAAUAUCAACAAUCUUCUUAGUCAUUACCGAAACGAUGGUAACAACACACUUGAAUAAAACGAAAUCAAUUACUAGCUUCUUGGUAACCUUGUGACUUUCCCUGAUCCAAGUGUGAGUCCUGUGCUUCCGGUAGUAUAGGCCUCUACUACCAUUCACACCUACUCAUACUCGUCCCAAGUAUUGUCUCGCAGUUUCCCAAGUCACCAUGCAGCAAAUCACACAAUCAUUCGACACAUCAGAUAACAAAACGAAGGUUUUAUAUUAAUUCUUGAAACGAUUACAUAGGUGUUCAAGUUCACCCUAGACUAUGCCUCUACUAGGCUACAUCAUACGAAACUAUGGCUACUGCAUAAUCCGAUCUUCGGGUAAGAAGUCCUCAUUCUUGAUUCCUCGCAUGGUUCUCUGCUUCGUCAAGGAUCAUGUGAAAUGCCCUUGGCCUUGGUGGCGUUUCUGGUCUUGCUGCUUUAUUUUUCCUUGGGCAGUCUCUGGACAUGUGCCCCUUGCCUCCACAUCCGUAGCAUACUUUGUCAUUAUGUGUGCAGUCUUUGGAAUAGUGACCCGUCCUCCCACACUUGUAACAAGUCACUUCUUCGUUGCACUUCCCACCAUGCUUCUUCUUGCAUUUAUCACACCAUCUUGUUUCACCUCCAUCUGCUCCUCCGAGUUUUGAGAAUUUGCUUUCCUUGUUCGACCUCGAAGAUCCCUCAAACUUUCGCUUCUCUCCUGCCUUAUCUUUUUCUAGACCCUUUUCUCUUAUCUGGGCCUCUACGUUCUUAGCUGCCCUAACAGCUGCUUUCAAGGUAGUUGCCAUUUUGACCAUUGGACCAAAGUCAGUGGGCAGUCCGUUAGCAAACCUAUCAAUCUUGGAGAGUUCAGUAGGCACCAAGUAGGGAAAUAGCUUCAUCCUCUCGGUAAAUGCGGUGGCAUACUCAUCAACACUCAUCUUCCCUUUCUUCAGGUUCUGAAACUCGUUGUUUAGGUCUAUCAGAUCUACCUCCGAGCAGUACUGCAUUUUCAACUGUUCCAAAAACUCUUCCCACGACAUCCUUAAGGCUUCUCCUCGUGGCAUCGUAUCUGCCAAUAGCUUCCACCAGCUCAAGACUCCAGUUUUCAGCUGUCUUACUGCAAAGACAGUCUUCUGUUUCUCAUUACAGCUGCAGCUCUCAAACACCAUCUCCAUCUCAGAGAUCCAAUCCAUAAUCUCAACCGGCUUUGGGCUUCCUGAGAGGCUUGGUGGUUUCGCACCCAAGAAGUUCUUGUACAUCCGCCCAUCCUUGUUGUUUCUCCCUUCUGGGCCAUCCCUUUGCUCACCUUGAGUCCCAACUUGACUCACUUGGCGGCUGUAGUUCCCUUCCUCAGAUUGCUCGGGAAUCAGUUCGGGUUGCUCAAUGGGCAUAGUAGGUUCGUCCCUAUUCAACAUCCGUCUCAUUUCUUCCCUUUGUUCAGCCAACAUAGCCCGAAUCAUGGCUUGAACUCCAGCCAUGGUGACUGGCUCAGGCGCAACUUCUUCUACAACAGGUAUUUGCUGAACCACUGGGGGUUGGUUCCUGUUCCCAUUUGCGUUUACGUUUCCGCUACGGGUCCUUACCAUCUCGAUCUAUACACCGAAUAAGGUGAAUUUAGACCUUUACUUGACGUUUAAAUCAUCCUUAUCACUCCGAAACAUUUACAUGCUAGUUCUAAUACCGUAGUCGUACGUUUAGAAUCCUAAACACAUAAGGUUUCCAGAUCCGGUCGGCAACAGACCAUAGAUCCGAACAAUUAACAACAUAUCAUGCACAAAGCAUUUAGCACAUAAAAGCAUUUUAGGCACAAUUCCUAAAAUAAGCUAGUGCUCACACCUCACAAUCAUCGCUUAGCAUUCUAAGUUUAAGUCUAGAAAUAAAUCCAUAUUCCUAGUUCGCUUAAACUAAUGCUCUGAUACCAACUGUGACAUCCCCAAAAUCACGGCCAGAAAAGACCGAUUUUGUUUAUGCUUUAUAAAAAUCAGAGUACUUCAUUUUAUAAAAAGGUUGCGGAAUUUGUUCCCAGAAAAACAUGGUAAAUACGUUAUUAAAACAUUUUCGAAGAAACGUAUUUAUUUCAUUUUAAAAUGUUUGGGAUGUCAUCGUUAAUACCGAAACAUAAGCAUAAACAGACUUACAAUGAUUUACACUAGUGAUCUACAUCUCUUUUAAAUCUCUCAGUGUAAUGUCACUUCACUUCGUCACCUGUGAUAUACAUAAACUGAGUGGGUCAGGUUGGGAAACCUGGUGAGUACAUAGGGUUUUCAACCCACAAUAAUAUAAUUAUUAUGUUCAAUCAAACAAUCAACCCAAUUACCCAUCCCCAUUAUCUUCUUUACUCUUUAAGGAUUUAACCUAAGAGUCAUCUAUCCUGCAUUCGUUUAUUCCGAAGUCCCUUACUUCCAGGGUUAUGGGACUGGCACUAAAUCCAUAGCUGCCAAUGUUCGUUCAUAAAGCACUAAUUCCAUAGCUGCUAUAGUCUAUUCAUCGGGUACUAAAUCCAUAGCUACCAGUCUUUAUCUAAUAGGUACUAAGUCCAUAGCUACCAAUGUUCAACAGGUACUAAGUCCAUAGCUACCAAUUCCUACAGGUACUAAAUCCUUAGCUACCAGCGUCUAACUAAUAGGUACUAAGUCCAUAGCUACCAAUUCCCAACAGGUACUAAAUCCAUAGCUACCAACGUCUAAAAGGUACUAAGUCCAUAGCUACCGGUGUUUGUCCCAUAGGCACUAAGUCUAUAGCUGCCAAUGUAUACUCACGUCAUCUUCUAUCUCUCAUCAUUCAUCUACCCAUCUCAUACCCAACAUUUUCGUAUAUAUAAAAUACGUAUACAGUUUAAGUCCUUUAAAACAUGUAUAAAACGUUCAACCAGCAUAGACAGCAAGUAUUCAGAUAAUGUGCACACAUAGCACGUAGUUUAUAUAAAAUACUUCAUAUCUAUGUGUAAGAUGAAAGGGACUAUGCACUCACCUGAAAGGUGGUGAGUCGGCACUCGGACAGCACUUCGUUACUCUUAAAACAAUUAUCCCUUGACGAAACCUAGUAUCAUUACCACUAGAGUUUAGUCUAACGCUUGACGAGACUAAUUUAAUAGUCUAGCUAUUAUUACUAUUAUAUAAGCGUUAAAUAACACUCAAUAUAACUCAUAAUAAUAGCCCAAAUAAUUAUUUUAAGGACCUAAUAACAUUACUAUAAUUAUUUGGAAGCUAUAUUAAAAAUUGCGUAAGCAUAGCUCACUUACAACGAAUUUUAUCGAAAACCGGAACUUUAUUUGGAGCAGCGUCUCGAAACCGAAAGACACUUUUUCUCGGGACUCCGGGAGCCUCGGGGCUUCCUUGGUGCUAGGUAUUUUUCCUAGGGCUUAGGGGUGGUUUGGGAAGCUAGAGAGAGAAAGAAAUUAGAGAGAGAAAGGAUUUUGGUGUGAAAAAUGCGAGCAGCCUCGGCCUCCUUUUAUAGCCGCGAGGGCCUCGCUACGCUGAGCAUUCAGAAGCUCUACGCGGGGCGUAGCUUCGGAUAAGGCAGACAGGUGGCAAGCUUCGGACGGGGCGACGUGGCUCAAGCUAGACCGAGGAGUGCAAGGCGUACGCGGCGCGUACUCGAGCUCGGACGUUGGGCGUAAUGCGAGGGUGGCGUGUCACUCAUCCAAAGCGAGUUCAUCGGACGGCUGGGAGCUAGGCCACGUCAUCAAUCCUUGCAUCAGUUUCGCAAAUCUCACCCUCAACUUCUAAAAAUCGUAACUUUCGCAUACGUGCUCCGUUUUAGACGUUCUUUAUAUCCACGCGAAGGUGGGAACGUACUCUACAACUUUCAUUUAGACUCCAUCGGAUAAUUUUGACUCGAUUUUAAAUUUUAUAUUAUUAACAGGCCGGGACAGGAUUGGUCCGUUAAAUUCUCAUAACUUCUUCAUCCGACGUCCCUUUUCGCCCAUCUUUUUCUCGUUACGCUACUCUUAUCGAGAUCUUCGAUUCUCGUUUAGGUCGUGUCGGCUAAAAAUCACUCGAUCUAAUAUUCGAAUUUCGGGUUGUACACCGCUAAUCCGAAACUUCGAAAAAUCAUAACUUCUUCAUACGAAGUCAGAUUUGGGCGUUCUUUUUAUCGAUGUUCUUAGUUUAACAUAGUAUACGAUCUUCGUUAUAUCGCUAAGGCUAAAACUUGCUCUAUUCUAAAUUCACUACUUACGCUUCCCGGUGCCGUACCGGUUCCGUCGCGAACCUUCGACGGGUCAUAACUUCUUCGUUAUAACUCGGAUUUCGGCGCUCUUUAUAUGUACGGAAACCUUGUAACAUAUACUAAAACUUGGUUAAGAUUAUUUAUUCUAAAUAAUCUUUUGCUGAAAAGUCAUUUUCGACCCCUAUUGUCUCUAAAUUGACUAGCCCGGAUCUACGGGCGUUACAGAGGUACGUUGGGUAAAGGAUUACAAAGGAGAUUGGUCUCAUCAUGAAGUAAAAUUCUCGAGAAUUUCACACAACCGAGAUCCAUAAACCGAGGAGGAGGUUCUUGGUCCUAGUGACCACCGAGAUCAAGAGGGACUUCGAUCCUAAGGAGACCGAAAUCCGGGGGUUUUCACAUGAGGUUUUCGGUCCGAGUGAGAGGGUUCUCUGUUGCGAGUCUUCUCGGCCCAAUCUUGAGUGUUUCAACUACCAUUGGAGAUUUUGAACUUCUUAAUCCAAGCUUAAACAACCUUCAUGCAAAUUGUAAUUUCUAGAAAUUU
RNAcentral lists this long non-coding RNA (5759 nucleotides) under Lactuca sativa (garden lettuce). Its description in RNAcentral is "long non-coding RNA (LSAT_LNC003307)". The record is from RNAcentral. Lineage: Eukaryota; Viridiplantae; Streptophyta; Magnoliopsida; Asterales; Asteraceae.